Molecule: transfer RNA, 72 nt
Organism: Ovis aries (sheep)
Lineage: Eukaryota; Metazoa; Chordata; Mammalia; Artiodactyla; Bovidae
Rfam family: tRNA
About the family: Transfer RNA (tRNA) molecules are approximately 80 nucleotides in length.
Source: Rfam
UCCCUGGUGGCUCAGAGGUUAAAGCGUCUGCCUCCAAUGCAGGAGACCCAGGUUCGAUCCCUGGGUCGGGAA